This 86-nucleotide transfer RNA is filed under the name Lentinula boryana. Its description in RNAcentral is "tRNA-Asp". The record is from RNAcentral. Lineage: Eukaryota; Fungi; Basidiomycota; Agaricomycetes; Agaricales; Omphalotaceae.
UCCCUGGUAGUAUAUCGGUUAGUACACGCGCCUGUCAUAAAAGCUGAAUGGCGCGCGAAAGCUGGGUUCGACUCCCAGACAGGGAG